Molecule: ribosomal RNA, 429 nt
Filed under: uncultured bacterium
Lineage: Bacteria
Also listed under: 1 other name
Description: bacterial SSU rRNA
Rfam family: Bacterial small subunit ribosomal RNA
Source: RNAcentral
GUGGGGAAUAUUGGACAAUGGGCGCAAGCCUGAUCCAGCAAUGCCGCGUGUGUGAAGAAGGCCUUCGGGUUGUAAAGCACUUUAGGCUGGGAAGAAAAAGCUUCACCUAAUACGUGAAGCCUUGACGGUACCAGCGGAAUAAGCACCGGCUAACUCUGUGCCAGCAGCCGCGGUAAUACAGAGGGUGCUAGCGUUAAUCGGAUUUACUGGGCGUAAAGCGUGUGUAGGCGGUUCGUUAAGUCGGAUGUGAAAGCCCUGGGCUCAACCUAGGAAUUGCAUUCGAUACUGGCGAGCUAGAGUACGGUAGAGGGCGGCGGAAUUCCGGGUGUAGCGGUGAAAUGCGUAGAUAUCCGGAGGAACACCGAUGGCGAAGGCAACCGCCUGGGCCUGUACUGACGCUGAGACACGAAAGCGUGGGGAGCAAACAGG